ACGCUGGCGGCGUGCCUAAUACAUGCAAGUCGAACGCUUCUUUCCUCCCGAGUGCUUGCACUCAAUUGGAAAGAGGAGUGGCGGACGGGUGAGUAACACGUGGGUAACCUACCCAUCAGAGGGGGAUAACACUUGGAAACAGGUGCUAAUACCGCAUAACAGUUUAUGCCGCAUGGCAUAAGAGUGAAAGGCGCUUUCGGGUGUCGCUGAUGGAUGGGCCCGCGGUGCAUUAGCUAGUUGGUGAGGUAACGGCUCACCAAGGCCACGAUGCAUAGCCGACCUGAGAGGGUGAUCGGCCACACUGGGACUGAGACACGGCCCAGACUCCUACGGGAGGCAGCAGUAGGGAAUCUUCGGCAGUGGACGAAAGUCUGACCGAGCAACGCCGCGUGAGUGAAGAAGGUUUUCGGAUCGUAAAACGCUGUUGUUAGAGAAGAACAAGGACGUUAGUAACUGAACGUCCCCUGACGGUAUCUAACCAGAAAGCCACGGCUAACUACGU
This 502-nucleotide ribosomal RNA is filed under the name uncultured bacterium. Its description in RNAcentral is "partial 16S ribosomal RNA". It matches the Rfam family "Bacterial small subunit ribosomal RNA", at positions 33 to 506 of the family's 1533-position model. The record is from RNAcentral.